RNAcentral lists this ribosomal RNA (456 nucleotides) under uncultured bacterium. RNAcentral's name for it is "bacterial SSU rRNA". It matches the Rfam family "Bacterial small subunit ribosomal RNA", at positions 29 to 506 of the family's 1533-position model. The record is from RNAcentral.
GCGAACGCUAGCGGCAAGCUUAACACAUGCAAGUCGAACGCGUAACGGCUGUAGCAAUACAGUUUUUACGAGUGGCAGACGGGUGAGUAACGCGUGGGAACCUUCCCUGAAGUAUGGAAUAACCACUGGAAACGGUGGCUAAUACCGUAUGAUCCAUAGGGCAACUUAUGGUAGAAGAUUUAUCGCUUCAGGACGGGCCCGCGUCAGAUUAGCUAGUUGGUGGGGUAAUGGCCUACCAAGGCUACGAUCUGUAGCUGGUCUGAGAGGAUGAUCAGCCACACUGGGACUGAGACACGGCCCAGACUCCUACGGGAGGCAGCAGUGGGGAAUCUUGGACAAUGGGCGAAAGCCUGAUCCAGCUAUGCCGCGUGAGUGAUGAAGGCCUUCGGGUUGUAAAGCUCUUUUAGUAGGGAAGAUAAUGACGGUACCUACAGAAAAAGCCCCGGCUAAUUUCGU